This is an unclassified non-coding RNA of Bradysia coprophila, 1156 nucleotides long. Lineage: Eukaryota; Metazoa; Arthropoda; Insecta; Diptera; Sciaridae. The record is from RefSeq and is a predicted model, not a curated record.
UUUCACUUGUCAUGCUGCUUUAGUUGACACAAAUUGCCAUAUAAACUUUUGGAUUUGUCAGUGAAUAGAAUUUUAUACAGAACGACGAUCAUUAAUACGGUUGCACUUGAGGUAGAUUCUUUAAACAGUUUGCAAAAGUGCAUUGUUAGUGCGCUUGUGCUGGUGCGGUGAUAUUUCUGCAUAAUUCAUUAACACUCAACUCAAAUGACCCAGCUUUUGCUCUAACUUUUAUCAGUUGUGUGGGUUUUGCUACAAUUUGUGGACAUAAUUUGCAAAAUCUUUCCCCUAAUGAGCGGCUAAGGCGACAAGCAAGCACUUUGAUCAAUCAAAAUAACAGGAACUCUAACGUACGUGCUGGUAGUGCCUGCUACGGAAGCAUUGUUGGCAACACAAACACUCAAAUCCGAUGUGAAGACUCCACUGUCGAAAUACGGGAUAACCGCAACACGAUGGCAUCGACGGCAUCAAGCACCUUAGAAAUUCGGUCCAAUACGAACGUUGGCAUUGAUGUCGAAGACGCAUGGUGUAAAUUUGAAAGCAAUACCAAUUUGCAAUUCAAGGGGAAAGGCGGCUUCAGUAAAUUUUUGUCACAGUUUGUCGAUAAUCGCAAUAGUAGAUUUGAAGGGACAAACAAUAGAGUGGUGGCCAUUAACAACAGGAAUUUGUCGGUUCUGGGUAAUGACAACCAGUUGGAGAUUACUGGGACUCUCAACCAUGCCGUUCGACCAGCGGGAUCGAGUAGAAAUACCGUAACGGUUUCACAGCUUGGUGGAUACAACUCAAGCAUUAAUUAUGACAUUGAAUACGUUGAAUCGGCUCAGAUCGACAGGUCAAAGUAUCGACUUGGAAAUUACAAUUUCAACGUUGAAGCGAACGAUGACAAGAUACGUGUAACUGUGGAGAACGGUUCAGUGAAGGAAAACACGUCCAGUAAAAUUGUCAUUGAUGGACAGGGUAGCCAAACCCUGGAAUUUAAUGGCGAACGCGUAGAAAUGGUAGGUCCAACAACGUUUGAUAUUUUUGUUUAAAUAUUCUUUAAUGGAGCUGAGAAUCCGUGCGUAAUGAAAGAUAGGUCUUCAAAUUGACCUGGUCAUAUUUUCAUUUACCUUCAAAAUCUCCACGAAUUUUAUGUAAAUUACACAAUAGCUUAGUCAUU